This 302-nucleotide long non-coding RNA is filed under the name Elaeis guineensis (African oil palm). RNAcentral describes it as "long non-coding RNA (EGUI_LNC082486)". Lineage: Eukaryota; Viridiplantae; Streptophyta; Magnoliopsida; Arecales; Arecaceae. The record is from RNAcentral.
UGAGGAUGCCACAUCCACUUGACUUUUGAGGCAAGGGCCUUUUCGAUUAGGUCUGAUUUUUUUGAAAAAAAAUCAGAUUAAAAGGUAAGGGACCUUAUGAGAUAAGAUUUAAUCUUUUUAGCCUGAUUGGAUAAUGAUUUGGAAUUAAGAAAGGUCUAUUUAAAGAGAUGGUCUCCUAAGAUUUAAAAAAUAAUUGAAUUUUAAGAAUUCAAAACUCUUUCUCUCUUCUCUCCAUGCCUCACCCUCUCUCCCUCCUCUCUUUUCCACACCCAAGGGUUGGGCAUCCAUCAUCCACAUGCUUG